GAUGAACGCUGGCGGCGUGCCUAAUACAUGCAAGUCGAGCGAACAGAUGAGGAGCUUGCUCCUCUGACGUUAGCGGCGGACGUGUGAGUAACACGUGGAUAACCUACCUAUAAGACUGGUAUAACUUCGGGAAACCGGAGCUAAUACCGGAUAAUAUAUUGAACCGCAUGGUUCAAUAGUGAAAGACGGUUUUGCUGUCACUUAUAGAUGGAUCCGCGCCGCAUUAGCUAGUUGGUAAGGUAACGGCUUACCAAGGCAACGAUGCGUAGCCGACCUGAGAGGGUGAUCGGCAACACUGGAACUGAGACACGGUCCAGACUCCUACGGGAGGAAGCAGUAGGGAAUCUUCCGCAAUGGGCGAAAGCCUGACGGAGCAACGCCGAGUGAGUGAUGAAGGUCUUCGGAUCGUAAAACUCUGUUAUUAGGGAAGAACAAAUGUGUAAGUAACUAUGCACGUAUUGACGGUACCUAAUCAGAAAGCCACGGCUAACUACGUG
This 497-nucleotide ribosomal RNA is filed under the name uncultured bacterium. Its description in RNAcentral is "partial 16S ribosomal RNA". It matches the Rfam family "Bacterial small subunit ribosomal RNA", at positions 28 to 507 of the family's 1533-position model. The record is from RNAcentral.